UCUCUCUCUCUCUCUCACACACCCUUUUGUUUCUCUCAAACCUCUCUUUGCCUCGCUCGCUCUCCGAUCUCCAGAGAACCUCUCUUUGCCUCACUCUCCGAUCUCCAGUUCUCUCUGUGUCUCCUUUCUUCCAGAAAACACUCAAGUUAGUCAAAUUUGUUCAGAUCUUUUUGUCGGGGGCUACAGAUGCCAGCGCUCUCUUGCUGAAAAAUAGUGGUCUCGAUUUAAAGAAAAUUUGAAGCCCAUAAAAGAUCGUGUUUCCUGCUGCCGAUUUGGUGUGGGAGAUCGGGUUUUUCGAAUUUAUGACUUUUCUUUGAAGCCUGCGAAGACCUCUGUGUUUAAGGCUUCAGAUCCCUUUCCACCGUUACUACCACCAAUUCACCCAUACCUCAGCUUUCUUUCCACGAUUCCUCAAAACGUUCAUAUCGGAAUUCUGGCCCAUCGUUGAGAUUUUCUGUAUGGGUUUUGGUUCUUUUGGAUUUGGAAGGAGAUGGAGAUCGGAGUUCGUUGCUAUCAUCUAUUCAACUUAAAUUUUUGGGGAUUUGGUUUGAAUUUUUGGCAAUUAAUGCACUAGAAGGAUUCCUCUUUCAAUGGUGAUUUGUCUUUUUGACAUAUUCAUUGCAAGGACAAAUGAGAAGUAAUCGGAGGCUGUUGUACCUUACAUUAAGAGUGAACAGUUCAUCUUUUGCGAAGGACAAAACAGGAGACAAGGUUUUUUUACUCCAUAUGGGACGGAGAGAUAGUGAGCCAAAACAAAUCACAAAGGCAAACACACAACAGUUUGAUGAGGUGCUGUAAAAUUGCUGAAAAAGGCUGCUUCCUCAACAAUCAACAGUACUGGAGAAAACCUUUUAGCGUUGCAGUAAACUACUUUUCUCAUAUUUUGUUAUUCUAGAUAAUACAAUACAACUUCUGCAACUUUUGGUGUGUCUGCUGCAUGUAUAAAAUCUUUCAUAUGUAAAAAUCAUCAUUUCCUUUUCAAUGUAAAUAAUAUUAAUCUUUUAUCUUAUA
Long non-coding RNA from Pyrus x bretschneideri (Chinese white pear), 1011 nucleotides. RefSeq lists it as uncharacterized. Lineage: Eukaryota; Viridiplantae; Streptophyta; Magnoliopsida; Rosales; Rosaceae. The transcript is spliced from 8 exons. The record is from RefSeq and is a predicted model, not a curated record.